This 2295-nucleotide long non-coding RNA is filed under the name Sus scrofa (pig). Its description in RNAcentral is "lncRNA (ENSSSCG00060010581.1)". Lineage: Eukaryota; Metazoa; Chordata; Mammalia; Artiodactyla; Suidae. The record is from RNAcentral.
UACUCAUUCUGCUGUUCAAUGCCUUUAACUCAGCUUUCACCACUGCAAAUGAGUUUUAUAAUUUUUUCUUGGUUUCUCCUCAUAGUUUCUAGUUCCUUUCUAAAGUAAUCUGGGUUGCUGUUCAUAUCUGCUUUUUUACAUUCCUUCAGUAUUUUCAUUACCUUCUUUUUGAACUUGGUGGUUAUUAGACUUCAGAGGUCUCUUUAAUUAUUUGCUUCUUCAGGGGAAUCCUCCUGUUCUUUUAACUGGGAAUAGUUCCUGCACUUCUUCAUUUUGCUAAUAUUUUUCUUUGUGAGUUUAGGAAAAACAAUUAUCUACUGUAUUUUUGGAGGACUAUUUAUAUAUGAGAGCUCCUAGGGUAGCUUGUGAAGAAUUGCUUUUUUUUUUUUUGGAAUGAGGGCUGCUUUUGGUUUGGAUGCUUGCUGUCUCUUCCCUCGGUAUAUGCUGGCCACUAUCCCCUUGAUAGCAGGUGUGAAGGUUUAUGGCUUGUGAAUGCUUCCAGGGAGGUGAGAACAGCAGGUGGCACCUUCAGGUGGCACCUAGUUACUGGGCCUUGGCAGUGGCAACCUCAGGGAGGCUGAGGUGGCACCCAUAGACCUUGGCAGCAGCAAUAGUGGAACAUGUACAUUCCUAGGGAGGUGGGGGCAACGGGUGGCACUCAGUUGCCGGGUCUUCCACAGUGACCCCUGAGGUUACUGGGGCCAUAGGUAUUGUCUGAUGCCAUAAGUGGUGCCUGGUCAUGGGACCCUUAGUAGUGAUGGGCUUGUACCCACCUCUGCAGUCCAAGGUGGCUGUGACAGUUUGCACUUACCCUGUAGCCUGCAGAAGAGGUACUCCAUAACCUGAGAGCCUACACACGCACAGAGAAAAGAAAUUCCUAUGGCAAUACUGCCUCCUCUUGCACUCUCUAACAAUGGCACCUUCUCUGGUGAGGCUGGGCCUCUCAUACUCCCUAGCCCAUGGUGCAUGGCUCCAUAGCCCCCUCAGGCUGUUUCCACACAGCCAGCCCUAGUCUUCUCCCCAGAACUCACUUCCAAAGUCCAAGUCUCAGUGCCAACCCCUCAUCAGAAUGUCUCAGGCUGUGGUGUGCUGGUUGGUGGUACCAGUUGUCUAUAUGGCUCUGUCCCUGCUUUGCCCUCCUCAGACCAGCUGCUGUACUUUUGAAGGACAUAAGCCUGGGCCUUGUUAACAUUCCACAGGGCCGGUGUAAAGCAGUCAACCCAGCACCUAAGUCUCUGGCAGCAGCCCCCUUCCUUAGAAGAACAAAGUUAGCUGAUAAGGCUGACUGCAGAUGCUACUUACGCAUGUGCACCCCCUUCCAACCUGUGUAAGUUUGCCUUUAUAAACGAAGUCCGUUUCUUUGGGGCUUCAUACUCAAGCCACUUUUAGGCAGUGUGUGGCCCGGCCAGUAAUAAAGACUCCUAAUUUGUUUUUUUUUCCUGUGUUGGAGUGGUCUCUGUUCUUUUACGGCAUAACACUUUCCUCCAAGGCGUUGAGGCUCCCCCUCCAUCCCGGGUGACAGCCCCAUCAGUUAGGCGUUGAGGCUCCCCCUCCAUCCCGGGUGACAGCCCCAUCAGUUAGGCGUUGAGGCUCCCCCUCCAUCCCGGGUGACAGCCCCAUCAGUUAGGCGUUGAGGCUCCCCCUCCAUCCCGGGUGACAGCCCCAUCAGUUAGGUGGCCUCCCAGGGUGUGGAUCCUUUCUUCUCCUUCUCGGGAGUGUUGGUCCCUUCCUGAUUUCUCUCUCUCCCCACUCUAUCCUUUUGUUCUACCCAAUUAUGUAGGGGGUUUCUUAGCCUUUUGGCAAAUCUGUGGUCUUCUUUCAAUGUUUAAUAGAUGUCCUGUAUUAAUUGUUCUAAAUGUAGAUGAUUUUUUAAAUGUGUUUGUGGGAGAAGAUGAGUGCCACAUCCUACUCCUCUGCUAUCUUUUCCCCACCUUAAACUCUUAUUCAUCUGUUUUUAAUAAAUAUAGGAAUUGGAGUACUGGUAUGUAUUGCAAGGGCUGUAUCUUUUAGAUUGUAUACUUCAAAGAAUGGUGUCACAUAAUUUGCUAGAGCUGGUACUAAGGAUUCAUGAAUUCUUGACUUUGGUGAUCCACAGAACAGUUUCUGCUUGGACUCGGUAGCACUGUGAAUCAGCUGACUUUAACAAGUGUUGUCAUAGUUCUGGAAAGUGAGUAUCCCAUCAACCACUCAGAAAGGAAAAAUACUUUUUAUAAUUAAAAACAGGAAUAAAAAUCUUUCAGUUCCGUUAAUUAGUGUGAAAUUUAUUUACUCAGGCUUGUGAAUGCUUGGAAAUUG